Molecule: long non-coding RNA, 4784 nt
Organism: Felis catus (domestic cat)
Lineage: Eukaryota; Metazoa; Chordata; Mammalia; Carnivora; Felidae
Exons: 3
Source: RefSeq, a predicted model, not a curated record
CCCAAGCAGAGAACGUGGGGCUUGAACUCACAAACCGUGAGAUCAUGACCUGAGCUGAAACCAAGAGUCAGAUGUUCAACUGACGGAACCAUCCAGGCGCCCAGGAGCUGUCACACUAAAAUGAAGAUAGCUUUUGAAAUGUGAUGUGAGAUAUGCAAAUGCUCCAAUGAUAAGUCUAAGAUAAUAAUUACAACCAAGAAUCACGGAACACACAUUUACUUCUUGUCAUGUUCAUUGUAAGUAAUAUUGCCAAUUCUUAUUACAAGCCAUAGGAGAGGUAACAUCCCCUUUUUAAUGACGAGAAAACUGAAGGUUGAAGUGGUGAAAUGCCUUGUUCCAAGUCCAUACAGUUAACAGAUACCUAAAUCAGAAUUUUAAUUUUCUGUGAUUUUAGCCAAAGAACUCAGUCUCUUUCUAUUAGAUCCUACUUCUUUCUGCAAAACAGCGUUUCACAAAGUACACAGCAGACGCCAUCCUUAGAGAAUUCCUGUGGCAUCCAUUUGGCUAAAGUUGCUGAGAACCCUAAUUAUUUUUUUCAAUGAUUAAAGCAUUUUACAUGUUCCGAGACAUUUUUUAAAUCAGAUUUAGUGCUCCUGGGUUGAAAAUGUGUCAUUUUCAUUAGUGCCCUGAGAUUCUUUCUGCAUCCAACUCUUUCCUGUUUGCUACUUUGGUCUCAUUUCUAUCACCUUUCAAAGAGCUGCCUGGCUGAGACUUAUUAUCAUUAUUAUUUUUUUUUUUUAGGUUGCUUUCAUUGCUAUGAAUCAACUCCAAGGAAAGGUUAUGGAUUUUCAGAGAUGUGCAGGACGUGUGGAGAUUUAUUUGUAUGAUUCUUACUUAUUGACAGAAUGUAUUCCCAGGGUUUAUCAACGUGUUCUGUUAGUUUGACAUUUAGUUGAAAGUGUUUGCUACUCUGAUUCUUGAGGAGGGCAAUCUCUUUCCUACAUUCCUCUCUCAGAUAUAUCCAGAGAAGACCACCUACCUGCUACAUCUAAACGCAUUCAUCCAACUAGUUCAGCUUGGGUUUGUUUUAUUUUGUUUUUCUCCAGCGAGGAUGCAAAGCUAAACAUCUCAAACCCAUCGGUCAUGUUUGGGGAUCUUAGACAGCAAUUUUUUAAACUGAACAUAACUUUUACUCAAAGACACGACCGGAAGGACUUUGUAGUCCUUUGGAAAUGGUAAGUGUUCUUUAAGCAGUUACAUGGAGAGAGGCCACCAUUUUGCAUUGUGCAAGGUAAGUCAAUGCAGAUAUAAACCGUACAUGAUACUCGUCUUGGUACGUUCAUUCUGUUUGCUGAUCCUAGGCCUGCUCAUCCUGAGAUAUAGUCCUCUUUUCUCCCCUACCCCCUAUGCCCCUUUGGCUAUGUGUGGCCUGUAGUAGACCCAGGCAGGACCCUGUGGGAGGUGAGGAGAGGGAAAAGCCAUGUAUUUCUCCCCCCCUUCUUCUUUGCCUCAGGCAUGUCCACGGGCAUUGGCUUGAAGCAUGUCACCAGCUCCUGCGGGAGAUAUCUGCCAUGACUCCAGCUUCUACCCAGUGGCCUGGUCCCUGGCCUCAGGGACCACCAUUUUCUCUGUCUCUCCAGCCUAUGAGUGAGAGUGGCUUCCUGCUGUUGAAAUCUCUUGGGUUACCUCACUGUCUCUUGUUUGGUUUUUCAAGCUCCUCCAUCGCCUGUAUGACCAAUUCCCUGAGAGUAAAUAUUUGAACUGGUUUUGCAUUUCAGAUUAAACCCUGACCUAUCCACCUCUAUGCGUAUAACAUUCAUCAUACCAUUAAUAACAUGUUUAAGGUUCUUUUACUGCCCUGUAAUAGUGACACCCUAGAGUACUGGGAACAGUGCAACAAACCCAACUGUUGCCACAAUUCAUGAUUGAAUAUUUGCUAUUCUGUAUUUUCGAGUGAAUAGAAGGAAAUGUAUUCUGCUGAAAGGAUUCUUUAAUUGCCAUUUUAACCAGGCAGUAGCCCUUUCUAUUUCUACUUAAAGGAACUCUUUUGGAAGAAAAUAACACACCAGGUGUCUUUUAGGUUUUUUGUUUGCUUUUUGAUAGUGUUCAAAGUUACUAAAUCAUCUAGUGAAAGAAUUCUAUUCCAGGUACAUGCCAAAUAACAAUUUUCUAUGCAAAUCUCUUAAAUAUCUAAGCCGGUGCAAAUAUAAACACCCUAUCAAGUGUUCUCAUAACAUCAACUUUAUAAGAUAUGGACUAAUUUAUAAAACCGCUUCACCUACAUUCAAAAAAUUAACUAAUAGUAUAUUUUGUGUUUGUACAAAGUGCAAAAGAGGGUCAAAAUCACUUUUUCCACAUGGCAGUCUGAAUAUAGGAAAACUAACCUAGAGACCCCCACAGGUUGGCUGAACACUACUUUAUUCAGCCAGGGGUGCUGCUGGGGGGAGAAACCAGUCCUAGCUCUGGUCCCACAGUGACACAGACGAAGCUGUUUUCCUGUAGACCCUGUUUCCUUUUAUUCCUAUUUGCACAACUAAACUAUAUUUUUGGUUCCAUUGCAGAUCGACGAGGUCAUGUAUCUGAGUUCUGUCUGGCCAACAGAAUGUGGAAGAAAGUGGUCUCCUCCCCCUUCAGACUGGUUCUUAGAAACUUCCUGGAAUUGUCUACAUCAAAGCCAUAUGGAAAAACAGCAAACUCCAGUCAUCCCAUGAAUCUCAUGCUUUACUAAAAACACAAAUCUGCACACUUGGAACAGAUUGAGACUGAAGUAAAGUAGCACCUAAUACCCCAGAAGCCCAUAAUCAGAUACUUAGGACCCCAGAGAUACGGCUCGGGCAGAAUUCCACUCAGUGACACUCCAAGAGUUAUCAUCAUGGACCGCGUGUUUAUUCUGAGGCACUGAGCUCACACAGCAGGGAGGCAGUUAAAGAAUAUCUCUCUGCCUUUUGGCAAAUUGUAUAAAGCGCUUUUACCAGGAGGUUUGGAGACAGCAACAGCAGCAGUGAGCAAGGCGGUUGCAUUUCUGAACAUAAUCUGAAUUAUCAUUACAGUAAAAUAAAAUUUACUAAAUGGGCAUUUAAUGGUAUUGGGGCAAGGCAAAGAAGCAGAGCUUUCAUCAGGAGAAGCUGGGACAGCUGCAGCCCCUCACAAGAAGAUCCCCUGUGAAUUGUUGGCUUUUGUAACUUGUGACCUUGUGCUAUUUAUAAAAGAGUAUUCCUCUAAGAGCCAAGAUGUAAGGCAUAAAACACCAUUGAAGUAUCAUAGACUUUGGAGAGAGUGUAAUGAACCUCUGAAAUUAGAAAAUGAUACCAAUUCUGAUGGAUGAGACGGAAGUUUUCCCAAAAAAUUAACCUCAGCCUUCCCUUCAACGUACAUACUGGGCAUUAAUUCUGGGAAUUUGUCUUUGGAAUGCGAUUUUUUUCCUCCUCGUAUUGACUGAGUGCCAGAAGUGUCUGAGAUGGAUCAUGUUGACAUAUUCAAAGAAAAAAAUGAUAGCUCCUAUAUAAUUGCACCUGCAUUUUUUCCAAAGUUGUUUUUUUUUUUUAAUGUUUACUUAUUUGAGAGAGAGGCCGGAGGGGGAGAGAGAGAGAGAGGGAGAGAGACAGAAUCCUAAGCAGACUCCCCACUCAGCAUGGAGCAGGACGUGGGACUCGAUCCACAACCGUGAGAUCAUGGCCUGAGCCGAAAUCCAGAGUGGGAUGCUUACCCGACUGAGCUACUGAGGCACCCCAGCCAGCACCUGCUACUUAUUUGCCUGGCACUGGGCAAGCAUCGUCUCAACACCCUGAUGAGCCUGGCACUGAGCUCGCCGGGGCAAGGAUCUGAAACUUGGAGAUACAGAGUAAUUUGUGGAGCUGGGACAUGUUCUCUAGUCAUCUGAUUCCAAGGUGCGUGUUUUCAACCACUCCACUGUCCUAAUUUAAAACCAGGAGACAAUCUGUCAUCUUCGGCUUUACUAUUAGUUGUCCUUUGAAAAAUUACUAAAAUGUCAGAUGUCUAGCUUGGUAGUUGCUCUCCCAGUAAAUUUAAAAAGCAGCAGGCCCUACCCGGCGCUUUCGUAGGCACAGUGGCAAGUAGAGAAGAAAUGUACGCUAAAGCUUCAAGGUGUCUGUGGGUUCGUUGGGGGGGACAUUAUUGACUCUUACAAGACUUGCAUAAUGAAAAGAAUAGUAACGAACCCUUACGGAGCACUUUUUAAGUGGACCACACCCUCCCCUAUGCUCUACAUGUGCACCCUGAGGUGGGCGAAAUUAAGGUCUCUCUCUUUCUGACCCUAGUCUUACAGCAAUAGAGAAAAGCUUCUCAACAGGGAACCUGGACUCCUACCUAAUAGGCUCUCCUAAAGUCUGGGAUCUCCACAUCUUCCCUAUUGCCUUAGAAUCACGAUUGGACUCAACUUUCUAUCCGAGGGAUUAAUUCUAGCUUUCCUUAAAAAAUACUCUCAGUAGGAGGCUCCUUUGAACCGGACUGAGGGGAAGGCAAAUAGUUCAGAAAAGAGCCUAUUCUCUCAGCGCCUCAAAACAUCAGAGCAGAGGGUGAGAUUACCAAUGGCUUGGGGAAAAUUGUUUAGGAGAACAUUUGCCACCUCCUGACCAGGACAUGCGGUGAGAGCUUCGAUAUACAUUCUUUUAAGUCUGAAAGUUGAUGUAACGUGCUUUUUUUCACCAGUCCCAUCGCUUGUCCGAAUUCCUUGCUUUGGAAAAAGAUACUGCUGCACUGUUUUCGUGUUGAUAGUUUUGCUGUGGUAAUUAAUUGUUCAAAAAUCAACAACAGUUAAGAGACACGUGGGUGGCUCAGUCAGUUAAGCUUCCAACUUCAGCUCAGAACAUGAUCUCACCACUCAU